GACGAACGCUGGCGGCGUGCUUAACACAUGCAAGUCAAACGGAAAGGCCCCUUUGGGGGUACUCGAGUGGCGAACGGGUGAGUAACACGUGAGUAACCUGCCCUUGACUUCGGGAUAACUUCAGGAAACUGGGGCUAAUACCGGAUAGGAAUCCUUGCUGCAUGGUGGGGGUUGGAAAGCUUCGGCGGUUUUGGAUGGACUCGCGGCUUAUCAGCUUGUUGGUGGGGUAGUGGCUUACCAAGGCUUUGACGGGUAGCCGGCCUGAGAGGGCGACCGGCCACAUUGAGACUGAGAUACGGCCCAGACUCCGACGGGAGGCAGCAGUGGGGAAUAUUGCACAAUGGGCGGAAGCCUGAUGCAGCAACGCCGCGUGCGGGAUGACGGCCUUCGGGUUGUAAACCGCUUUCAGCAGGGGCGAAGCUUGUGGUGACGGUACCUGCAGAAGAAGCACCGGCUAACUACGUG
This 465-nucleotide ribosomal RNA is filed under the name uncultured bacterium. RNAcentral's name for it is "partial 16S ribosomal RNA". It matches the Rfam family "Bacterial small subunit ribosomal RNA", at positions 28 to 507 of the family's 1533-position model. The record is from RNAcentral.